RNAcentral lists this ribosomal RNA (774 nucleotides) under Janibacter melonis. Its description in RNAcentral is "bacterial SSU rRNA". It matches the Rfam family "Bacterial small subunit ribosomal RNA", at positions 89 to 875 of the family's 1533-position model. Lineage: Bacteria; Bacillati; Actinomycetota; Actinomycetes; Micrococcales; Intrasporangiaceae. The record is from RNAcentral.
GGAUCAGUGGCGAACGGGUGAGUAACACGUGAGUAACCUGCCCCGGACUCUGGAAUAAGCGCUGGAAACGGCGUCUAAUACCGGAUACGAGACGCAACCGCAUGGUUAGCGUCUGGAAAGUUUUUCGGUCUGGGAUGGACUCGCGGCCUAUCAGCUUGUUGGUGAGGUAAUGGCUCACCAAGGCGACGACGGGUAGCCGGCCUGAGAGGGCGACCGGCCACACUGGGACUGAGACACGGCCCAGACUCCUACGGGAGGCAGCAGUGGGGAAUAUUGCACAAUGGGCGAAAGCCUGAUGCAGCGACGCCGCGUGAGGGAUGACGGCCUUCGGGUUGUAAACCUCUUUCAGCAGGGAAGAAGCGAAAGUGACGGUACCUGCAGAAGAAGCACCGGCUAACUACGUGCCAGCAGCCGCGGUAAUACGUAGGGUGCGAGCGUUGUCCGGAAUUAUUGGGCGUAAAGAGCUUGUAGGCGGUUUGUCGCGUCUGCUGUGAAAAUCCGGGGCUCAACCCCGGACUUGCAGUGGGUACGGGCAGACUAGAGUGUGGUAGGGGAGACUGGAAUUCCUGGUGUAGCGGUGAAAUGCGCAGAUAUCAGGAGGAACACCGAUGGCGAAGGCAGGUCUCUGGGCCACUACUGACGCUGAGAAGCGAAAGCAUGGGGAGCGAACAGGAUUAGAUACCCUGGUAGUCCAUGCCGUAAACGUUGGGCGCUAGGUGUGGGACUCAUUCCACGAGUUCCGUGCCGCAGCUAACGCAUUAAGCGCCCCGCCUG